AGCGGGGUGAUCUACCCAUGGCCAGUGUGAAGCAGCAGUAAGAUGCUGUGGAGGCGCGAACCCACGUAGGUUGAAAACUGCGGGGAUGAGCUGUGGGUAGGGGUGAAAGGCCAAUCAAACUCCGUGAUAGCUGGUUCUCCCCGAAAUGCAUUUAGGUGCAGCGUCGCAUUAGCUUGGUGGAGGUAGAGCUACUGGUUGGUUGAGCGGGACUACAAUCUUAGCAAUGUCAGCCAAACUCCGAAUGCCAUUAAUGUGUUGUGCGGCAGUGAGACUGUGGGGGAUAAGCUUCAUAGUCGAGAGGGAAACAGCCCAGAUCGCCGGUUAAGGCCCCUAAGGGUGUGCUAAGUGGAAAAGGAUGUGGGAUCGCGAAGACAGCCAGGAGGUUGGCUUAGAAGCAGCCAUCCUUGAAAGAGUGCGUAAUAGCUCACUGGUCGAGUGGUUCUGCGCCGACAAUGUAGUGGGGCUCAAGCACACCGCCG
Molecule: ribosomal RNA, 479 nt
Filed under: Corynebacterium striatum
Lineage: Bacteria; Bacillati; Actinomycetota; Actinomycetes; Mycobacteriales; Corynebacteriaceae
Description: partial 23S ribosomal RNA
Rfam family: Bacterial large subunit ribosomal RNA
Source: RNAcentral